Molecule: long non-coding RNA, 639 nt
Filed under: Dromaius novaehollandiae (emu)
Lineage: Eukaryota; Metazoa; Chordata; Aves; Casuariiformes; Dromaiidae
Description: lncRNA (ENSDNVG00000013540.1)
Source: RNAcentral
CUAUUUCAGCCACUUUGUGCUGCCUGAACUUCAGAGCAAGUCGUUAAUCAAAUGUUCUUGUCCUAGGAGAUCUGGUAAGAAGCAUCAGAUGGGAUCUGUGUGGGGAAUGUAAGCUGAAUGAAGAGAUGAUACAAUAUAGAUCUGUAGAAGGUAGAAUUCUGUAUUACGGCCUUCUCCAAGUCAUCAUCAACCUACACACCUGACUUACUGUGUGGCCCAGCUCAAUGGGGUUGUCCUGACUGGGAUCAUAAGCCCGGAGUGGAAUUUCAGCCCUUCACGGCCAGCCCAGCCACAGCGAAUGGAGUGGAUGCUAACCUGUCUUUGGCCAUAAGUGGAAGCAUUCCCUGAAGGAGGGAAGGCUGCAGAUCCACGAUUCACAGAAGGUAACCUAGAUGGAGAUCAUGGAGUUUGAUGGAUCAGCUUUCUCACCUUUUCGUUCAUGAGUAUUGCUCCAAAACUUCCAGAAAGCAAGCACUUAGACCUUAGUCUAGCAAAGCACUGAAGUGAUGCCUUCAAAGACAAUGUCACUGCACCUAGAGUUCCGCUGACGAGCUGAGGCCCUAAUUCAUGGCAGGAGUCAUCCACAGAUGUCUGUUUUGGCAUAAAUGCAUGUAUUAUGGUUUGCUACACUUGAGUUUU